GAUGAACGCUGGCGGCGUGCUUAACACAUGCAAGUCGAACGAUGAAGCCCAGCUUGCUGGGUGGAUUAGUGGCGAACGGGUGAGUAACACGUGAGUAACCUGCCCUUAACUCUGGGAUAAGCCUGGGAAACUGGGUCUAAUACCGGAUAGGAGCGUCCACCGCAUGGUGGGUGUUUGAAAGAUUUAUCGGUUUUGGAUGGACUCGCGGCCUAUCAGCUUGUUGGUGAGGUAAUGGCUCACCAAGGCGACGACGGGUAGCCGGCCUGAGAGGGUGACCGGCCACACUGGGACUGAGACACGGCCCAGACUCCUACGGGAGGCAGCAGUGGGGAAUAUUGCACAAUGGGCGCAAGCCUGAUGCAGCGACGCCGCGUGAGGGAUGACGGCCUUCGGGUUGUAAACCGCUUUCAGUAGGGAAGAAGCGAAAGUGACGGUACCUGCAGAAGAAGCACCGGCUAACUACGUG
RNAcentral lists this ribosomal RNA (466 nucleotides) under uncultured bacterium. Its description in RNAcentral is "partial 16S ribosomal RNA". It matches the Rfam family "Bacterial small subunit ribosomal RNA", at positions 28 to 507 of the family's 1533-position model. The record is from RNAcentral.